Molecule: transfer RNA, 72 nt
Filed under: Dehalococcoidia bacterium
Lineage: Bacteria; Bacillati; Chloroflexota; Dehalococcoidia
Description: tRNA-Lys
Rfam family: tRNA
About the family: Transfer RNA (tRNA) molecules are approximately 80 nucleotides in length. Their secondary structure includes four short double-helical elements and three loops (D, anti-codon, and T loops). Further hydrogen bonds mediate the characteristic L-shaped molecular structure. tRNAs have two regions of fundamental functional importance: the anti-codon, which is responsible for specific mRNA codon recognition, and the 3' end, to which the tRNAs corresponding amino acid is attached (by aminoacyl-tRNA synthetases). tRNAs cope with the degeneracy of the genetic code in two manners: having more than one tRNA (with a specific anti-codon) for a particular amino acid; and 'wobble' base-pairing, i.e. permitting non-standard base-pairing at the 3rd anti-codon position.
Source: RNAcentral
GGGCCGCUAGCUCAAUGGUAGAGCAAAUGACUCUUAAUCAUUAGGUUGUGGGUUCGAGUCCCACGCGGCUCA